This 86-nucleotide small RNA is filed under the name Klebsiella pneumoniae. Its description in RNAcentral is "partial RtT sRNA". It matches the Rfam family "RtT RNA", at positions 46 to 130 of the family's 130-position model. From Rfam's summary of the family: This family represents a bacterial cis-regulatory element known as RtT RNA. The exact function of RtT is unknown although it is thought that it may be involved in changing the cellular response in relation to amino acid starvation. Lineage: Bacteria; Pseudomonadati; Pseudomonadota; Gammaproteobacteria; Enterobacterales; Enterobacteriaceae. The record is from RNAcentral.
ACUCGAGCGAAGCGAGAGAACGUUGCCGCAGGCAAUGGCCCGAAGGCGAGGCGCUUUAGCGCCGAGUAAUCCUUACCCCACCACUG